GACGAACGCUGGCGGCGUGCCUAAUACAUGCAAGUCGAACGCAGUGGGUACGGGUGAGUAACCCGUGGGUAACCUCCCAUCAGAGGGGUUAACACUUGGAAACAGGUGCUAAACCCUUACUGAUGGAUGGACCCCCGGUGCAUUAGCUAGUUGGUGAGGUAACGGCUCACCAGGGCCACGAUGCAGUGCCGACCGGAGAGGGUGAUCGCGCACAUGGUGACGGAGACACGGACCGGAGUCAUACGUGAGGCGGAGGUGGGGAAGCGUCGGAAAUGGACGAAAGUCGAACCGGGCAACGCGGCGUGAGUGAAGAAGGUUUUCGGAUCGUAAAACGCUGUUGUUAGAGAAGCGGUAUGUAAGGAGAAAGGAACGUCUAACUACGUGCCAGCAGCCGCGGUAAUUG
RNAcentral lists this ribosomal RNA (403 nucleotides) under uncultured bacterium. RNAcentral describes it as "partial 16S ribosomal RNA". It matches the Rfam family "Bacterial small subunit ribosomal RNA", at positions 28 to 527 of the family's 1533-position model. The record is from RNAcentral.